CCUACGGGGGGCUGCAGUGAGGAAUAUUGGUCAAUGGACGCAAGUCUGAACCAGCCAUGCCGCGUGCAGGAAGACGGCUCUAUGAGUUGUAAACUGCUUUUGUACGAGGGUAAACGCAGAUACGUGUAUCUGUCUGCAAGUAUCUUACGAAUAAGGAUCGGCUAACUCCGUGCCAGCAGCCGCGGUAAUACGGAGGAUUCAAGCGUUAUCCGGAUUUAUUGGGUUUAAAGGGUGCGUAGGCGGUCGGAUAAGUUAGAGGUGAAAUCCCGAGGCUCAACUUCGGAAUUGCCUCUGAUACUGUUCGGCUAGAGAGUAGUUGCGGUAGGCGGAAUGUAUGGUGUAGCGGUGAAAUGCUUAGAGAUCAUACAGAACACCGAUUGCGAAGGCAGCUUACCAAGCUACGUCUGACGUUGAGGCACGAAAGCGUGGGGAGCAAACAGGAUUAGAUACCCUUGUAGUC
Molecule: ribosomal RNA, 460 nt
Filed under: uncultured bacterium
Lineage: Bacteria
Description: partial 16S ribosomal RNA
Rfam family: Bacterial small subunit ribosomal RNA
Source: RNAcentral